GAUGAAGAACGUAGCGAACGUGCGAAACGUAAUGUGAAUUGCAGAAUUCAGUGAAUCAUCGAAUCUUUGAACGCAUCUUGCGCUCCUUGGUAUUCCGAGGAGCAUGCCUGUUUGAGUGUCGUGAAUACUCUCAACUUCAACCCUUUUUUCGGAAAGGGAGGAAGGUUGGACUUGGGUGUUUGUUGAAGUGCGAGCUUCGACUCAUCCUAAAUGCAUUAGCGAUCUGCCUCGAUCACACACAAUGUGAUAAUUAAAACUAAAGCAUUGUUUAAUGAUCAAGUCGAGACUGCUUCUAACUGUCGCAAGACAAUAACGUGCAUACAUUUGUGCAUGUCAUUUGACCUCAAAUCAGGUAGGACUACCCGCUGAACUUAAGCAUAUCAAUAAGCUGAGGA
RNAcentral lists this unclassified non-coding RNA (395 nucleotides) under soil metagenome. RNAcentral describes it as "partial contains 5.8S ribosomal RNA, internal transcribed spacer 2, and large subunit ribosomal RNA". The stretch from base 1 to 121 matches the Rfam family "5.8S ribosomal RNA", at positions 35 to 154 of the family's 154-position model. The record is from RNAcentral.